Molecule: long non-coding RNA, 465 nt
Filed under: Olea europaea (common olive)
Lineage: Eukaryota; Viridiplantae; Streptophyta; Magnoliopsida; Lamiales; Oleaceae
Description: long non-coding RNA (OEUR_LNC015174)
Source: RNAcentral
UCUCUUAACAUCAUCUAUUCAGUUUUUUGUGGACCAUUGGAUGAAGAUCGAUGGUCGAGAUUUAAUCUUGGGGGAGAUGUUGUGACUUGAUGGUAUUGAUGUUGACACAAUAAGGUCUUCCCACGUUUUUGGCAGAGGCAUGGGUCUUUCCUUCCUUCCCCUUCUUAUGUAGACUCCCUCUGCCAUUUCUUGUGGAGCUCUCGUUUUUCACUUGAAUGUGGUGGUUCUUUAUCGGUUUUCCCCCCUCUCUCUCUUGGAAGGUGAUUUGCAAGUCAUGGAGGGCUGUUCCUGAGCCUGAAAAACACCCAUAAGGAGGAGGAGAAGCUGCUGAAACGAGGAAGGAAAACUGCAGAAAAUUCGGCCAAACACGGUUGUCUCCUUCCACACUUUUUCAUUGUUUUGCCUUAGAAUUUCUUCUAUUGAUUGAUGUUUAUGGUUGAUUGAACUCCUAGGAUCCCCAACAAA